Molecule: long non-coding RNA, 2732 nt
Organism: Bos taurus (domestic cattle)
Lineage: Eukaryota; Metazoa; Chordata; Mammalia; Artiodactyla; Bovidae
Source: Ensembl
GUGGGAGGAGGAAGGAACCGGGGCAGGCAGGCGGAUGGCUGGGCGGGAGGCACUGCAGCACAGCCCAGCAGCCCCAGAGAGACUUUCAGAGGCUCUGCCCACAGCUCAAAGCCUAGCUGGAAUGUUGCUGUUUUCGCAGAGAAAAAUCAAAGGAAAGGGAUUAUAAUUAUGGGUCAAGUCUUGAGCAGGAAGCAGUUGCGGGCGCUGGGGGCUCCCCUUGCUUGGGCGUCUUUUGUAUCAGCAAAGAGCCAGGCAUCCUAGAGGCGGGCUGAAAGGGACAUGACCAGGGUUUUUGCCUCUUCCCAUUUUCUCCCAUUUCUUGCCCUCAUCAAAUGCCGGGCUCCUGUUGUCUCUUGAAUUGUUCUCGGUGAAGCAAAUGCCUACAGCCAGGUAUGAAAUGCCCAGCUCAUCAGCCGCAGAGGACCCUGGGCCUCCUAGCCCCAGUGGCCCCCAACUUCCUUACGGGACUGGCAUGGACCAUCCCCACCCACCACCACCAUCCCCACCCCGAGAUUCUGGGCUAUCCAGAGACUCACAGUGGAGCACCAUUCAUUAGUCCUACCCAAGUCUCAGAAGUCCUUUUCCAACCUGGCCAGCUGGGAGAAGAAAAGAGAAAAGGAAGAGAGAGAGAGAGAAGGAAUAGCAGCCCUCGCUUUGAGCUGAAACUCUCCUUCCCUCCUUGCAAGCACAGCGACCUGCCCGACCCACAAAGUCUUCCGAGUUUCAUCCGCCUCCACGAACGCCAGACUUGAAAGUCCCACCUGAGGCUCAUGUUUUCAAAUCUCUUGGUUUUUUUUUUAACACAAACUUUCAGCAUCAACUUGAAGCUGCCAUUAAAAACCCCAGGCCUGGCGGUCCUGCAGUUGAGCAUUUCCACCUGGAUUUGAGUAAACAGCCAUGAAUAAUCCAGUGUUUCCUGCAGGGCCACAUGCCCUGUCCACCCCCCCCCCCCGCCCUCCCCCUCCCCAAGGGUCUGGGAGACCAGACCUUCCUGUCUCAAACCGCUGACUCAGAACAUGUGAGCUGGAGAGUGCCAUGGAGUCACUGCCUCUGAUGCCCUCCUGUGAUGGAGGAGGAGAAGAAAACCACCCAAGCUCAAAGGAGGGUGAGCAACAACCACCUACCUUCCCUACUCUUCACAAAACAGCCCGGCAGCUCCAGGGAUGGCCCAGCGCCGAGUUCCUACAGAACCAAGGGGAACCUGCAUGUUUACGGUCCUGGCCAGAAACAGCAAGGCCCUGCUCAGUACUGGCCCCAUGGGUGACCUCAACAAAGUGUUUUCCCUCCUUUGACCCUAAACCCACAUCUUUCUAAGGAGGAGGAUAGAGCAAGUGGCUGGCAGUGCCCUUUGCAGCUGGGAUGAGUUAGGACACAUUAACGGAACAAGUGCCACCCCACAGGAGGGUGGUUGGAAGCAUGUUGUCCCAAAUUCAAAUCUAGCUCUCCCAGUUAGGGAGUGGAUGAGCCAGGAUCAGUCACUCCGCUUCACUGAGCCAGGGUUUCUGCACUGAAAUCAGGGGUAACAAGAGCCCACCUGAUGGAACUGUGGGAUCCAAUGAGCUGGUUCAUGCAAAAUGCUCAGCACAGAGCAAGGGACACAGUGAGUGCUUAGCACUUGGUAUUAUUAUUUUCUUCUCUUGGAAAACUAAUCAGAUAACAAGGCACCCAGCCCUCUAAUUCUGGAGAACAGUGCAUGAUGGAGCCCUGGAGGUGUGGGAACAUGGAUGAAGGCGAGGUCACUGGGCAGCACGGGAUAUCAGAGGGCUGUGGCCCCUGCAAGACCACGCACUCAUUCCUGUUGCAGAGCCAGACACACCGGCUGCUACAGUGUGCUGUUGGUCAACAAGGGGGAGACUAGGAGCCACCCGCAUGGAAAACAAAUUGACUGAAUGAUUUGCAUUCCCCCAGCUCCCACACUCAGGCACUGGGGCCACCCCUGGAGCAUGUUAAAAGGCUGACUGUCUGCAGAGGUGGAGGCAGGAUGUGGGGGGAGGAGAGAGGAAGACACUGGAGGCCCCAAGAUCCACCAUCCAGCCUCUCUACCCUCAUCACUGCCUGGAGGCUAGUCCAUGUGUUCAAAAUCAAUGGCCAUCAUGCUCUCUGCUUCUGCUUGCGACAGGACAAACAGGGAAGAGCAGAAGGAGAAGGAAGAGGGAGAGGAGAGUGGAUUGGGGUUAUCUAUCCCCACCCCUAAUGCCUCCAUUAGGGCCUGACCCAUGGACAGCGUCAACUAGAUGAAGCCUGAAAGCAUCUUUUUCACUGAAGUUUGGCAGACUUUGGGUCAGAUCUUGUUCUAAUACUUACCAGUCAUGUGACGUAGAUGGCCUGAUCUGUGGACAUGCAGCUCACACCUGCUACAGCCAUCUCACUACCCCCAAGGAAAGCAUCUUGAGGAUAAAACCAACUCACAGAGGUUGGGGAAAUGGAGCCAGACUCUGGUGAAUCCAGCCUAAAGUUCACACUGCUUUCUUGAUACCCAAACCAAUAAUGUUCAUUUUUAGAAGUCAGGUUAAAUUGGGUUUUUGUCUACUUGUCUUAAAUUGCAUCUAGUGGAUUGAGACUUUGUUACCAGAAGUGGAAUGUUGACAUAAUUGACCCUAAACAUCAGACAAAGUGUUUACAACACGCCAAAGAGAUGUGCUGGCAAACAACAAAGAUGCUGUCAUCUAGGGCUGCUGUGCACAGCGCCCUACACAGCCCCAGGGCGCAUUCAUCGAAACUGCAUAGCCAUC